Molecule: transfer RNA, 73 nt
Filed under: Bos taurus (domestic cattle)
Lineage: Eukaryota; Metazoa; Chordata; Mammalia; Artiodactyla; Bovidae
Also listed under: 1 other name
Rfam family: tRNA
About the family: Transfer RNA (tRNA) molecules are approximately 80 nucleotides in length. Their secondary structure includes four short double-helical elements and three loops (D, anti-codon, and T loops). Further hydrogen bonds mediate the characteristic L-shaped molecular structure. tRNAs have two regions of fundamental functional importance: the anti-codon, which is responsible for specific mRNA codon recognition, and the 3' end, to which the tRNAs corresponding amino acid is attached (by aminoacyl-tRNA synthetases). tRNAs cope with the degeneracy of the genetic code in two manners: having more than one tRNA (with a specific anti-codon) for a particular amino acid; and 'wobble' base-pairing, i.e. permitting non-standard base-pairing at the 3rd anti-codon position.
Source: Rfam by way of RNAcentral
UCUCUGGUGGUCCAUCAGGUAAGACUCUGUACUUCCAAUGCAGAGGGCAUGGGUUCAAUCCUUGGUCAGGGAA